AGUCCGCGCGGGUUCUCGCUCGCAGAAGGGGUGCGAGCGGCGGCGGCGGCGGCGGCGGCGGCGGCGGCGGCCAUGGACGACGAGGAGGAGACGUACCGGCUCUGGAAGAUCCGCAAGACCAUCAUGCAGGCGAGCCGCGCCUGGUGUUGGGGGCGGGGGCGCGGGCGGCGGGUGCAGGGGCCCGGGGUGGGGUCGAUCACGGCGUCUCCUCGUACUCUCGUCGGAGCAGCAGCGACGAAGGGCCGGGCCGAUACGGGAGGCCCAGAGGCCGCCGGGGAUACCAGGCGCUGGACCCGAUCUGAGCCGGCAGCGGGGAAGGGAGGGGGUUGCGAGACGUCUGGGUGCGGGGCUUAGGGGUGGGCGGGCGGCUUGGGCUGGUGCGGCGCGCAUGGCGGCGAGAGAAGGAGGAAGCCGCGAAUGGGGACGGGGGGCGCCCCCAGACUCUGCCCCUCUCUGUGAUUCAGCAUCGCCAUUUGUCCUUGCGUCCUGAACCCCAUGGAGUCUCAGCAUCCGAGGCUGGCAGAGUUGGUGGUUGGGAAGCAGCGGGCGAGCUGGGGCUUUCGAUGGGGACGUGGAGCUCGGAACCCGUGCCUUGGGGUCUGGGGCAGAUGGAGGCCACUGGGCCGAGUCCGGUUUGGAAGCCGGGCACAGGCCUGAGGGCCUGCGGUUCAGGGUACUGCCUCAGCCAUUGGGGCCGUUUGAGAGCUUUUGCUUUGUCUUGCUUCCCACCCCUUGCCCUUGUCCUCAGCGAAGCCCCCCGCAGCCUGAUUCUCCUUCCUCCGAGCCUCAGACAUUGUCAGCCUGAAGUCACAUCUGUUUCGGUCCCUGUCAUUUUUUUUUUUAAGAGAUAGGGUUUCACUCUGUCGCCCAGGCUGCAGUGCAGUGGUGCAAUCAUAGCUCACUGCAUCCUUGAACUGGCCUCCAGCAACCCUCCUGCCUCAGCCUCCCUAAGUACUGGGAUCACGGGCGUGAGCCUCCGCGCCCCGCCUUUGUCCCUGCCUUUAGGGUAGCUCUGCAAAGUGGUUUGGAGGGCUUUGCUCCCUGCCAGGUUUCUCUGAGGCUGGGUGGACAGACGGUCUUGGUCAAGGCUGGACAUCUCUGGGAGCCUCUCAGGAUCAUACUGGUCCCAUCCUGUGGUGUGGGGCUGUGGGGGCCGGGGUGGCUGUCAUGGAGCACACAGUGAGUGAGCAGCCCGUUUGCUGUUCACCUCUGUCCUCUGCAGCAGCCGCAGGUCUGACUUCCGGGUCACGAGCUUUGGCCGCCUUCCUCUCUCUGCCCUGGGGUCAGCUGGUUCUUUCUCUCUGCAGCUGUGCCACGACCGUGGCUAUCUGGUGACCCAGGACGAGCUUGACCAGACCCUGGAGGAGUUCAAAGCCCAAUUUGGGGACAAGCCGAGUGAGGGGCGGCCGCGGCGCACGGACCUCACCGUGCUGGUGGCCCACAACGAUGACCCCACCGACCAGAUGUUUGUGUUCUUUCCAGAGGAGCCCAAGGUGGGCAUCAAGACCAUCAAGGUGUACUGCCAGCGCAUGCAGGAGGAGAACAUCACACGGGCUCUCAUCGUGGUGCAGCAGGGCAUGACACCCUCCGCCAAGCAGUCCCUGGUCGACAUGGCCCCCAAGUACAUCCUGGAGCAGUUUCUGCAGCAGGAGCUGCUCAUCAACAUCACGGAGCACGAGCUGGUCCCUGAGCAUGUCGUCAUGACCAAGGAGGAGGUGACAGAGCUGCUGGCCCGAUAUAAGCUCCGAGAGAACCAGCUGCCCAGGAUCCAGGCGGGGGACCCUGUGGCGCGCUACUUUGGGAUAAAGCGUGGGCAGGUGGUGAAGAUCAUCCGGCCCAGUGAGACGGCUGGCAGGUACAUCACCUACCGGCUGGUGCAGUAGCUACCGCCUGACAGCCCCUAGAGGCAGACACACAGACAGCGACCCCCAUCCCUGCAGGACGAACGCCCCUGCCCUGCCAGAAUCCGGCCCCCCAGCUCACGGCCGCUGCUCCUCUGGACUCCCCAAGGCAGGUGGCCUCCACCCACGUUCUCCCGUCCUGGGGUGAGGCUUCCUGUGGCCCAGCCCGCCCCAUUCACCUGUGGAUUUGUGCGAGAUGCAGCCUCAGAAGGGACAAGGCCCCCAGAGGGAGGUCACCUGGGGGCAGCUGGUGCCGGGUCUUCACCCAGACCACGCUGGGUCUCCACCCAGACCACGCUGGGUCCCCUCUGUUGGGGGUUUGGGGUCCGGGUCUCCCACCAGCCACUGCUUCCUCCUGGGCCCUCGGCCUUCCACCCCUCGUCUUCCCUCCCUCGGGGGCCCUGAUGCGUGGCGGCCCCAGCCCGGCCUCGGCUCUUUACUCCAUUCACAGCCGUGCACGUGCUCAAGCCACCAGGGUGCGAGAUGCCAGCUCUGGAGUUCUCGGUUGUUGUAGGAGGUUGGGUGUUUUCAAAUGGUAAAGAUGUUUUGAGCAAAUAAAUUUGCUUGAUACAG
RNAcentral lists this small RNA (2474 nucleotides) under Pan troglodytes (chimpanzee). Its description in RNAcentral is "retained intron". Lineage: Eukaryota; Metazoa; Chordata; Mammalia; Primates; Hominidae. The record is from RNAcentral.